CCAUCCCGCCCGCGUUAUCACAAAAUCUCCGAAACUGCUGUACUUGUGUCGCCCUGUUGUGGUCUCUCGCUUGUUACGUCUCAUAGAGGCACUGCGCCGGGUCGCCUGUAGCCAGACAGAAAUUAGGUGCCUUCUUCCUUUUCCUUACAAACCACUAACGUCUCAUAGACAUGGGACGCCCGCGCGUCAUAAGAACUCCGUCGGAGGAGCGCGAGUUUCAGCUUCGACGCAAGGAAAUGAGGCGAGUCCGCCUUCUUAACCAGACCGAGGAACAGCGUGCCAUCAUGCGUUCGAAGCAAGCCGCAUUGCAACGCCGUAGGCGCCAGGACGCCGCACUUCGGGAGCGCGAGAAUGAAGCACGACGGCGACUCCGAGCGGACCCUGUGAUUAGGCAGCUGGAAGCGGCCAAACAGCGUGCGAGACGCGCAGACGAGGCGGUGCGUCUGCGAGAGGCAGAGGCGAGAUGGAGGCGACGUCAGAACCCCGAAGUUCGGCAACUCGAAGCGGCAAAACAUCGUGAACGGCGUAAAGACAUAGCAGUGCGUCUGCGAGAGGCAGAGGCGAACUGGAGGCGACGUCAAAACCCCGAAGUUCGGCAACUCGAAGCGGCGAGACAUCGUGCCCGCAGGGAAGAUCCGGAGGUGCGCCUACGAGAGGCACAAGGUAAUCGACGGCGCCGACAGAACCUAGAAGGCGCGAUAAGCGUUGCACAACAGUAUGACUACGAGGCAUCUCGGGGAUCAGAGACCGGGGAGGACUGGCAAUCGCGGCUGAGGCAACGAACGCAACUUUCCAACGAGCAGGUAUGCGUGUUGUGACGUUUGCUUUUGCCUCGCCCGAGAACAAGACCUAUCGCCCGUCAACAGCGCUCAGCUGCCCUUGCUAAUUGCCGAAUUUCCGGACGAAGAAGUGGACUCCUUCUUGCUGUGCUCGUUGUGUCACUGCCGCAAUUAGAGCGGAUGCAAUUGGUGCGCCUUCUCGAAGCAACGGCUACGCACAUCCUGCUAAUACCGCAGGUUUAUGUGAAGAUCACUUUUUCUGCAGUAGCGACUAUGAAGACUCCUGGAACCAAGUGCACAGUCCUACCCUGCAGAACUGCCUACAGCAGACUGUGAAAGCCAAGGUGGACUGCUGCUUGCAGACGGAUGGAACCGGAAAGGU
This is a long non-coding RNA of Rhipicephalus microplus (southern cattle tick), 1161 nucleotides long. The record is from RefSeq and is a predicted model, not a curated record. Lineage: Eukaryota; Metazoa; Arthropoda; Arachnida; Ixodida; Ixodidae.